Cyprinodon tularosa is the source of this 141-nucleotide long non-coding RNA. RefSeq lists it as uncharacterized. Lineage: Eukaryota; Metazoa; Chordata; Actinopteri; Cyprinodontiformes; Cyprinodontidae. The transcript has 2 exons. The record is from RefSeq and is a predicted model, not a curated record.
CUGGACCCAACCGGUUCCCUCCCUCACAAAGAAUCUGUCUGGACCUCUUCAAGACAUCAGUGAUUCCAGCCCCGGACCUGUGCCUAAACCAGUUCAUGUUCUCUCUGUGAAAACCAUUCAAUAAACUCUGUUAAACUUUUA